AAUUUAACUUAAAAACGUUGUUUUGGCGCCAAGCUGCUGUUUCUUUGAGAGAUCCUGCCUUUACCUGCUCCCUCCUAUACUGAUGUGGUGUAUGUGGUACCGCUGAGCUUGUAUGUGAUCUGAACCAUUGUAAAGGUUGCAGUUCAAGGGCCUGAGGUGGAAGCAGAAUUUGUGAGGAUUACUACUGCUCCACUUGUUCCAAGGCUUUUUGCACAACUUGAACAAUACACUGACCAGCUCAUAAAAGUCUUCAAGAAAAAAGGAGGCGCUGCAGUGAAGAAAAUUAGACAAAUUUUGG
This is a long non-coding RNA of Oreochromis aureus, 298 nucleotides long. RefSeq lists it as uncharacterized. The record is from RefSeq and is a predicted model, not a curated record. The transcript has 4 exons. NCBI's taxonomy places the organism in Eukaryota, Metazoa, Chordata, Actinopteri, Cichliformes, Cichlidae.